CUUGUGGCCCAUGAAAAAUUUUCAGAACCUAGAGAAGUGGAGGAGCUGGUUAUAGCACCAGUGAAGAAAGAGCUGGGCCUUGCAUUCAAGGGUAACCAAAAGAUGGUGGUUGAAUCUUUGGAGGCAAUGAAUGAAAAAGAGGCUAUGGAAAUGAAAGCCUCUUUGGAAACUAAGGGAGAAGUAGAGUUUUAUGUCUGUACUCUUGAGAAAAAUGUGUCCAUUAAAAAGAAUAUGGUCACAAUUUCAAAGGAGAAGAAGAAGGAACACCAGAGAGUUUUUACACCAUCAGUGAUUGAAAUUGAGCCAUCUUUUGGCAUUGGACGUAUAAUAUAUUGCCUCUUUGAGCAUUCUUUCUACAUGAGGCCUAGUAAAGCUGGGGAUGAACAGUUGAAUGUUUUCCGCUUUCCUCCAGUUGUGGCUCCUAUUAAAUGCACUGUUUUCCCACUCGU
RNAcentral lists this unclassified non-coding RNA (449 nucleotides) under Hevea brasiliensis (rubber tree). Lineage: Eukaryota; Viridiplantae; Streptophyta; Magnoliopsida; Malpighiales; Euphorbiaceae. The record is from RNAcentral.